RNAcentral lists this ribosomal RNA (253 nucleotides) under uncultured bacterium. Its description in RNAcentral is "partial 16S ribosomal RNA". It matches the Rfam family "Bacterial small subunit ribosomal RNA", at positions 524 to 776 of the family's 1533-position model. The record is from RNAcentral.
UACGGGGGGGGCAAGCGUUGUUCGGAAUUACUGGGCGUAAAGGGCUCUUAGGCGGCCAACUAAGUCGGAUGUGAAAUCCCCAGGCUUAACCUGGGAACUGCAUCCGAUACUGGAUGGCUUGAAUCCGGGAGAGGGAUGCAGAAUUCCAGGUGUAGCGGUGAAAUGCGUAGAUAUCUGGAGGAAUACCGGUGGCGAAGGCGGCAGCCUGGACCGGCAUUGACGCUGAUGAGCGAAAGCUAGGGGAGCAAACGGG